Long non-coding RNA from Labrus mixtus (cuckoo wrasse), 488 nucleotides. RefSeq lists it as uncharacterized. The record is from RefSeq and is a predicted model, not a curated record. The transcript is spliced from 3 exons. NCBI's taxonomy places the organism in Eukaryota, Metazoa, Chordata, Actinopteri, Labriformes, Labridae.
GGUCGGUUUUGUUAAGGACAACGGCAUGCGUUUAGUUUAGAGUGUUAGAUUCGGCACAACACACCGCUUAUAUGCUUAAGACCUCUAGUUAUGGUGACAUUUACGUGUAGGACAAAGGCAAUGAUUUAAAGCUGAACCAUACACUUUAUGUUCUGAGUGAGUGUGAGUGAGGACGUAAAGUCAAGAGAAAGCUGUUGUGAGGCAUUUCUAAUUGAGACAUAGGGGGUCUCCUGGCACACAGCAGCAACCUAAAGCAGGUGGGAGAACACACAGCAGAAGUCUGCCUGUCUCCACGAUGCAGUGAGUGUCGAUCACUGUUGGAGAAGAAACAUGAAAACAGCGUGUCAGAUGGAGGACAUUUUCUGACAGCACAACUGCAAAGAACUCAUGUAAAUACAUGGUCUGCUGUUUGGUUUUCAUACAUGCUUUUCAGUUCCAGGUGGACCUCAUUUAUUACCUUGAAAAUCUGUUUUAAAUGUUCAAAGACA